Molecule: unclassified non-coding RNA, 240 nt
Filed under: soil metagenome
Description: partial contains 5.8S ribosomal RNA, internal transcribed spacer 2, and large subunit ribosomal RNA
Source: RNAcentral
AACCAUAGAAACCUGCGGAGUACCUGCGGAGGGAUCAUUAUAGUAUAUGGAAUCUCCAUUCUAUAAACCCACUCUGCGUAUCUUGUAACUGUUGCUUCCAUGGGACUUGGUUCCACCACACCGGCUUCACGGCUGGUGAGCGCCCAUGGAAGGAGAAACAAAACUCUUCUUUGAAAUGUAGUCAGUCUGAACAAGUUUUUAUAAACGUUAAAACUUUUAGCAAUGGAUCUCAGAUCGGAA